UCCCUGAUUGUCCAGUGGUUGGGACUCUCUGCUUCCACUGCAGGGGCCACAGGUUCAAUUCCUGGUCAGGGAA
RNAcentral lists this transfer RNA (73 nucleotides) under Ovis aries (sheep). It matches the Rfam family "tRNA". From Rfam's summary of the family: Transfer RNA (tRNA) molecules are approximately 80 nucleotides in length. Their secondary structure includes four short double-helical elements and three loops (D, anti-codon, and T loops). Lineage: Eukaryota; Metazoa; Chordata; Mammalia; Artiodactyla; Bovidae. The record is from Rfam by way of RNAcentral.